RNAcentral lists this long non-coding RNA (234 nucleotides) under Physcomitrium patens. Its description in RNAcentral is "long non-coding RNA (PPAT_LNC007819)". Lineage: Eukaryota; Viridiplantae; Streptophyta; Bryopsida; Funariales; Funariaceae. The record is from RNAcentral.
GAUCUUCAAAUAUCAUAGAAAUCCUACCCAACCUCAAACUGCCACCUUCUGAAAUCCUCUUGUACUAAAAACUAGAUAUCUCUAAACACGCUGUUAGAUGAUCACAAAAUUUUGUAUACAUGUAGAACACCCAAUAAUCCAAAUUGUGUCAAAUUUUCAACUGUAGAUGUUAUGCCAAUUACAUGAACUAGCCAAAAUUACUAGCCUUAAUUAUAUUACAUAAAAUCCAAAUCA